GCCUCGGUAGUGUAAUAGAUCAGCACGGCAGAUAUGAUAUCUCUCAGUGCGGGUUCGAGUCCCGCCUGAGGUU
RNAcentral lists this transfer RNA (73 nucleotides) under Dictyocaulus viviparus (bovine lungworm). It matches the Rfam family "tRNA". From Rfam's summary of the family: Transfer RNA (tRNA) molecules are approximately 80 nucleotides in length. Their secondary structure includes four short double-helical elements and three loops (D, anti-codon, and T loops). The record is from Rfam by way of RNAcentral. Lineage: Eukaryota; Metazoa; Nematoda; Chromadorea; Rhabditida; Metastrongylidae.